Molecule: non-coding RNA, 45 nt
Filed under: Schistosoma margrebowiei
Lineage: Eukaryota; Metazoa; Platyhelminthes; Trematoda; Strigeidida; Schistosomatidae
Source: RNAcentral
AUUCGGCUGAUGAGUCCUAAAUAGGACGAGAAGCACAUCCUGGAU